Sapajus apella (tufted capuchin) is the source of this 1901-nucleotide long non-coding RNA. RefSeq lists it as uncharacterized. The record is from RefSeq and is a predicted model, not a curated record. The transcript is spliced from 3 exons. Lineage: Eukaryota; Metazoa; Chordata; Mammalia; Primates; Cebidae.
UCUCUCUCCUCUUGAAUCUGAGUUCUCUGAGUGAAGUGAACUCAAGCAUCAUUUUUGGGCCAGGACAAUGAUUGGGCUGCAGUGUUGGCUUUUACCUUCAAAGUCAGAGAGGCUUAGGCCCCUGCUUUCUGCUUUUCCCAUUAAAGGCCAGGGACCCCAUGAUAUAGCCCGUUCCUCCUGUUAUAAUUGGGAUGACUUUCAAGGAAAUGGAGGCAGCUCACCAAAGUCAUGCUUCUUUUUCUAGGUCUCAAAGUUGACGCAAACCAGAAUUUGAAGUGGAGUCUUCUAGAACCUGAUGUGGCUGGGCAAAUGCUGGCCAGCAGAGCUGACAGCCAAGCUGGGGAGAAGAGCUCAUCAAGAGAUGUGAAUAUCCAACCUUCCAAGUCCAGACAGCCAUGGGAGCCAGGCUACAGGGCAAGGUGAACAGAACCACCAGAACCCUCAGCAGCCUGACCCCAGAUCCUCAGCCUCACUGAGAUGACUGCUGACCAACUCCUAACAGGGAUCUGCAACAUGUGGUUAGGGCUUGUGGACAGAGAUGCAGCCAGAAUACCCCACAACCUACGAGGAUGCAAUAUUCUAGGACUGUCUGUGCAAGACUUGCUCAUUCUACUCAUGGUCCUGAAGUCGAGCUGGAGGCAAGCUCUAGUUCUGGGCUCUACUGGAGAUGCUCUGCCUCAGGCUGGGUUUGCUGCUGUAACAAGCAAAACUGCUUGCCAACUGGCUCGUUCUGGCUCCAGCCUUGCUUCAGCCAGUUCAUGGCAGAGGCUCUUCAUCCUUCCUUUGGAAGAUUACUGACACCAACAAGGAUGUAUGGGCUGGUAGAAAGAAGGAACCUGAAAACUCACGGAGAGGAAAGAGAGGAGCUAGAGCUAUUGGCUGAAGAUCUCAGUUCAAGGCCCUUCAAGGAAGAUCUUUGAACAUGCUGAGCCUCAGUUGCUUCAUCUGUAAAACAGAGCUUCUGUCACCCUCUGGUCCCUAUUCCUGACUCACAGGGUCAGUUGAGUUUAAUGUGUGUGUGAGAUGCCCAUGGAGUGGUCAAGAGUGUUCAUGCUGGAAUCAGCACUGCCACUUUCUAGCUGAGCACAUGCCUCAGUUGCUGGUUGGCAAUGGGGGACAGAACCUUCCUGACAGAGCUGCUGUGCAAAUUCAGAGAGCUUCCAUGGCCAAUGUGUCUGGUGCCAUUCCUGGAAUCCAGGUGCAGCCUCUACUCUCAGGGGACUGUCUUGUGUGGGAGAGAAACAAUGAAUGUGUAUAAAAAGUGGCUCCAUGGAUAGAGUGGCCAUGUGUAUCCUGAAUAUAUCCACUGUUUUUUCUGGUAUAAUUACCAAUAGCACCCCUUUUCACACUCAGAAGCCUUCUAGCUUGAAAGAUAAAUUUUAUAAUCACUUUCACUGUGAAGAAAACUAAAGAGCAUUUAGUGAGACAGUGACCCAAUCAAGUAUCGUUAGAUGGGUCGGAAGGCCACUUGGAGGAUAUGAUGUGUUCAUUACGACCUGAAUGAAGGGAAGGAGUCAGCCACGCGUCACUGUGCUGAAUGAACAUUCCAGUAGAGGGGAGAGCAGAGACCCUGCGGCAGCCCUGGGCUUCCGGUGUUGGAGGAACAGGAAGGCUGACAGUGUAGUUGGAGCAAAUUCAAUUGAGUGGUGCAAAAAGAGGGCCUAGGAAUAGCCCGGGCCACCAUAGACUCCUUCUGAACAUUUUAGUCCCAUGACCUCAUGCAUUCUCUUUUAUCUUAAACUGGUUUGAGUCAGGUUUUCUUUACUUACACACAACAAAUGAAAGAAUUCUUUAAAAUAUAAAAUAUUAACACUGGUGGUCUCAGGUUGUAGGAUUAGAGAGCUUUUACUUUUAAAAGUUUGCUUCUCUGAAUUUUAUGCAAUGAACUUGGAUUACUUUUG